AUUGAACGCUGGCGGCAUGCCUUACACAUGCAAGUCGAACGGUAACAGGUCUUCGGAUGCUGACGAGUGGCGAACGGGUGAGUAGUACAUCGGAACGUGCCUAGUAGAGGGGGAUAACUACUCGAAAGAGUGGCUAAUACCGCAUGAGAUCUACGGAUGAAAGCAGGGGAUCGCAAGACCUUGUGCUACUAGAGCGGCCGAUGGCAGAUUAGGUAGUUGGUGGGAUAAAAGCUUACCAAGCCGACGAUCUGUAGCUGGUCUGAGAGGACGAUCAGCCACACUGGGACUGAGACACGGCCCAGACUCCUACGGGAGGCAGCAGUGGGGAAUUUUGGACAAUGGGCGAAAGCCUGAUCCAGCAAUGCCGCGUGCAGGAUGAAGGCCUUCGGGUUGUAAACUGCUUUUGUACGGAACGAAAAGCCCCGGGUUAAUACCCUGGGGUCAUGACGGUACCGUAAGAAUAAGCACCGGCUAACUACGUGCCAGCAGCCGCAGUAA
This 498-nucleotide ribosomal RNA is filed under the name uncultured bacterium. RNAcentral's name for it is "partial 16S ribosomal RNA". It matches the Rfam family "Bacterial small subunit ribosomal RNA", at positions 30 to 523 of the family's 1533-position model. The record is from RNAcentral.